UGAAUCCAUAGGUUAAUGAGGCGAACCGGGGGAACUGAAACAUCUAAGUACCCCGAGGAAAAGAAAUCAACCGAGAUUCCCCCAGUAGCGGCGAGCGAACGGGGAGCAGCCCAGAGCCUGAAUCAGUGUGUGUGUUAGUGGAAGCGUCUGGAAAGGCGCGCGAUACAGGGUGACAGCCCCGUACACAAAAAUGCACAUGCUGUGAGCUCGAUGAGUAGGGCGGGACACGUGGUAUCCUGUCUGAAUAUGGGGGGACCAUCCUCCAAGGCUAAAUACUCCUGACUGACCGAUAGUGAACCAGUACCGUGAGGGAAAGGCGAAAAGAACCCCGGCGAGGGGAGUGAAAAAGAACCUGAAACCGUGUACGUACAAGCAGUGGGAGCACGCUUAGGCGUGUGACUGCGUACCUUUUGUAUAAUGGGUCAGCGACUUAUAUUCUGUAGCAAGGUUAACCGAAUAGGGGAGCCGAAGGGAAACCGAGUCUUAACUGGGCGUUAAGUUGCAGGGUAUAGACCCGAAACCCGGUGAUCUAGCCAUGGGCAGGUUGAAGGUUGGGUAACACUAACUGGAGGACCGAACCGACUAAUGUUGAAAAAUUAGCGGAUGACUUGUGGCUGGGGGUGAAAGGCCAAUCAAACCGGGAGAUAGCUGGUUCUCCCCGAAAGCUAUUUAGGUAGCGCCUCGUGAAUUCAUCUCCGGGGGUAGAGCACUGUUUCGGCAAGGGGGUCAUCCCGACUUACCAACCCGAUGCAAACUGCGAAUACCGGAGAAUGUUAUCACGGGAGACACACGGCGGGUGCUAACGUCCGUCGUGAAGAGGGAAACAACCCAGACCGCCAGCUAAGGUCCCAAAGUCAUGGUUAAGUGGGAAACGAUGUGGGAAGGCCCAGACAGCCAGGAUGUUGGCUUAGAAGCAGCCAUCAUUUAAAGAAAGCGUAAUAGCUCACUGGUCGAGUCGGCCUGCGCGGAAGAUGUAACGGGGCUAAACCAUGCACCGAAGCUGCGG
Molecule: ribosomal RNA, 1006 nt
Filed under: Escherichia coli
Lineage: Bacteria; Pseudomonadati; Pseudomonadota; Gammaproteobacteria; Enterobacterales; Enterobacteriaceae
Description: partial 23S ribosomal RNA
Rfam family: Bacterial large subunit ribosomal RNA
Source: RNAcentral